ACACUUCACUGAACACUUGGAACUCGAAGUGGGAAGAUGACGCUAUGUCAACGCUUCGCUAUACACUGUUUGGGUCUAUCCAAUGCUGCGGCAUUGGACAUGGACGUUAAGGAACUCAAUCUCCACGGAUCCAAUACGAAAGGACCGAAGAGGCUAAAUUACCUGCCCAGGAUCCUGCCCUAUUAACAAAGCCGAAUAAUGGAAAAGUCAAUUAAGAAACGAAAUUCCCCAACCCUUUACGAACGAAGGACGUAUACAUUAACUGCCCAGUAUACCAUGACGACGUCGAGGUACGCGCAGGUGCAAAACGGUACCAAGAUAGACCACGCGUACCAAAGGAUGCCCCCGGAGGUGUUAGAACAGACAGCCGU
Molecule: long non-coding RNA, 371 nt
Organism: Macrobrachium nipponense
Lineage: Eukaryota; Metazoa; Arthropoda; Malacostraca; Decapoda; Palaemonidae
Exons: 4
Source: RefSeq, a predicted model, not a curated record